AGUGAACGCUGGCGGUAGGCCUAACACAUGCAAGUCGAACGGCAGCACAGUAAGAGCUUGCUCUUACGGGUGGCGAGUGGCGGACGGGUGAGGAAUACAUCGGAAUCUACUUUUUCGUGGGGGAUAACGUAGGGAAACUUACGCUAAUACCGCAUACGACCUACGGGUGAAAGCAGGGGAGCUUCGGACCUUGCGCGAUUGAAUGAGCCGAUGUCGGAUUAGCUAGUUGGCGGGGUAAAGGCCCACCAAGGCGACGAUCCGUAGCUGGUCUGAGAGGAUGAUCAGCCACACUGGAACUGAGACACCGACAAGACUCCUACGGGAGGCAGCAGUCGGGAAUAUUGGACAAUGGGCGCAAGCCUGAUCCAGCCAUACCGCGUGGGUGAAGAAGGCCUUCGGGUUGUAAAGCCCUUUUGUUGGGAAAGAAAAGCAGCAGGUUAAUACCCCGCUGUUCUGACGGUACCCAAAGAAUAAGCACCGGCUAACUUCGUG
This 492-nucleotide ribosomal RNA is filed under the name uncultured bacterium. RNAcentral's name for it is "partial 16S ribosomal RNA". It matches the Rfam family "Bacterial small subunit ribosomal RNA", at positions 29 to 507 of the family's 1533-position model. The record is from RNAcentral.